UGCGCAGGCGGACUUGUUAGUCAGAGGUGAAAUCUCACUGCUCAACAGUGAAACUGCCUUUGAUACUGCAGGUCUUGAAUCCAGAAGAGAGUUGUGGAAUUCCGAGUGUAGCAGUGAAAUGUGUAGAUAUUCGGAAGAACACCAGCGGCGAAGGCAGCAACUUGGUCUGGUAUUGACGCUCAGGCACGAAAGCAUGGGGAUCAAACAGGAUUAGAUACCCUGGUAGUCCAUGCCCUAAACGAUGAUCACUUGAUGUCGGCCCUCAGGGUCGGUGUCGAAGCUAACGCGUUAAGUGAUCCACCUGGGGAGUACGCUCGCAAGGGUGAA
This 327-nucleotide ribosomal RNA is filed under the name uncultured Melioribacter sp. RNAcentral describes it as "bacterial SSU rRNA". It matches the Rfam family "Bacterial small subunit ribosomal RNA", at positions 568 to 898 of the family's 1533-position model. The record is from RNAcentral. Lineage: Bacteria; Pseudomonadati; Ignavibacteriota; Ignavibacteria; Ignavibacteriales; Melioribacteraceae.